Felis catus (domestic cat) is the source of this 8298-nucleotide long non-coding RNA. RefSeq lists it as uncharacterized. The record is from RefSeq and is a predicted model, not a curated record. NCBI's taxonomy places the organism in Eukaryota, Metazoa, Chordata, Mammalia, Carnivora, Felidae. The transcript is spliced from 6 exons.
CAGGGACGGGCCGGAACAGCCUCAGCCCCGCCCACCUCACGUGGCGGGGAACGUCCUGAUUGUUGUGAGGCGGAAGGGCCUUGUUUGGGAGCCAGGUGGCUAGGUUCCUGGAAUACUGCAGGCGGGACGCAGGGGGGCUCAAGUUAGUAAAGUGUUACUUUAGGUUUUUGUAUUGUCAAUAGUGUUUCAGAGCAGUGUUGAUCAAAUUAACUACUUUUAUUUUUCUUGUGCCCUUCAUUUGUUUUUGGGGGAGGAAAGGGGGAGGAGAUGUGUCUGUGCCUGCGAUUAGUAUCUCUUCUUCGCGGGCUAUUAAGGAGCAGUCCGUAGUGAAUUAUGUUAAUUUUUAUAUGGACACAGAGCAAUUGUACCUUUUGGGUGACAAAUGGGAGACAGUACUGAAGGGAAUAUUGGCUCUAUCAAGUAAUGAAAUAGGAACAUAUGAUAAUAUGCAUAUAUAGCUACCGAUGAAAUGGAGGAAGCAAAGGGCACCUUUAUUUUGCUUUACUCUGCAUUGAAAUCAGUAAAAGGACAUCCUCAAAUAAGAGAAGAAUAAGGAGAAAUGAGGGGAUCUGAAACAAUAAAAGGUAAAAUGAAUUGAAAAAGUAAACAAGAAAAGAAGGCAUCUAAUGUGGAGUAACCGAAAAUCAAAAGAAACAUGCUCACAGAAAAUAUGGCUAAAAGAAGUGACAAUUUUGGACAGGACCAAAGACAACUCCCAAGCUUGUUCUCUCUAAUAGGUGGACACAUCUGCCCACAUGCACCUUUUAUGCACACUAACCCCAAAGUGCUGGGCUUCCUAAGGAUCCUCAGUGUGAUUCUCCCUCCACCACACUGUCUAGAGCUUUGGUGGAAAGAGGACCCUCUCCAGCCAUCCUUCUCAGAGUGUGUGAGUACAAAGAGAAUAUUCUGCUGCGCCCUCUGUAUGGCUCCCUCACCAGUUUAGCAAAGGGGAGGAACUAGGACCUGACCCUGGUUGCAUGCCCAGGACACUAUCAGAUUGGAUGUCUAUUAUUACAGCUAACAUUUAUUGUCUGUCUAUUGUGUGCCAGCUUCAAUCUAUUUACUUUAUGUAUGCUUGUAGAUUUAUUCCUCAUAAUAGCUCCAACAGGUAGGCACUGCUCUAUUCCACUUUGCAAACGAAUACUAAGGCACAGAGAGAGUAAGUGACCUUGUCCAAGGUAUCACAGCUAGAAAAACGGCAGAACAGAGGUUUGAACUCAGCCAUCACGCUCCAGAGAUUUUGCACGGAUCUACCAUGCUUGACUGUAUAGUUCUAGCUGGGGAAAAGGCCUGGGGAGAGUGAGAAAAGCACAGCAGCAGGUAUGGUGUCACUUUUAUUGGGCUUAAGGAAGAAAUAUCACUUCUUUAUGCUCAAGGCUCUGCAGGGUAUUCUUCUGAAGGUUUUGCAUCUACUUUUUGACCUGGUACUUCAAUUCAAUUCAGCAUACAUUUAUCGAGUGCCUCUUUAUGAUCUAGGAAUCAUGUAAGGUGCUAGGGACAGGAAAGCAGAUAAGAUAUAGACAAAAUUAUACAUUAAAUCUUAGAAAGGUGUUCUUUAUUUUAUAAAUGUCCUCUGAUGGCAGUUCUUUGCUGAUGUCCUUGAAGUAGUGGAAUGACACAGUGAGAAUGCAAAGCUCCAGAUACAUGCUUGUUUCUUAGUAGAAAUCAACCUCCCUUUUUGUUCACCUCUCAAAUUAUUCCGUGAAGUACCACGGAAGAUGUCCACAUCAGAUGAAUCUGAUUAAUAGGGUCCUGUCUGGCUAUCAGUAGCAAGCCAUGGUUGCCUGAAGCUGUCUAUUAACCUGAUGGCUCCAGGUGAGCGUCUCAGACCACAAACAUGCAAUGACUUUAAUGGAAGAAAAAGAAUCAACUCUUUUUUUCCAUCUCUGUGUUUUCGAUCAUUUUUGUUUUGACUCCCGACUUCCCCUUGAUCUCUAAAAUAGCAAAUAGCAUGUAGGAAAAUCUAUCAUCUGUUAAACAAUCAUGCAAAGAAUGACAUGGCAAUACUGCCUCUUUUACAUGAAGGGCAUCAUCUGACAUACUUACUACCACCCAAACUCACAAAUUACUUAAAAUAAAUGUAUGGAAACCUCAUCCUUAACCUUAAGCAAUUGAACUUCUUGAUUCUGAUUAUUUUCUACAAGUGACUUUGAGAGUUAAUUACAAAUAAUAAAAUGUGAAAAGAAGAUGCUGAGCUUCACAAAUACGUUUACAAGAAGGACAUCAAAAGACUUUUUGUCUCUAGUAUCUAUGGGGUAAGUAGCAAAUUUAGAGGUAGAGAUGACUUGGGACCAUGCUAUUGGUAUCACUCCACUUAUUUCAUGAUAAUAAGAGCAAUAAUCCAUAGUUAUUGAGCCAGGCCCUAUGCUGGGUACUUAAAGUGUAUCAUCUCAUUUAAUACUCCCAAACGUCCGUUUUCACAUAAGAAAACAGGCUCACAGAGGUUACUUUUCCAAGGUCACAUAGCUACUUGUGGCAGAGUGGGGCUACCAACCUGGGAGAUUUGUCUAAGUCUAUUCUUAUAGUUACCUUUCCAUACUCUCUAACAAAGUCAUUUUAGUUAUUGACUUUAGUGAGUGCCCACUUGCUCAGCAUAUCAGAGCUGAAAGCCAUUCCUGACUCCCUGAAUUUUUGCAGAUUUAUUGUGAGAAAUACAUUCAUCCCCUAAUUAUAUAUGCUUACUGCUUUAGACACCUUCAUUUUACAACUUGUCAUAGUCAUUAUUUUACCUUCACUGGUGUUGUGGGUUUCAUCAGUGCCAGUGUUAGUUACCUAUCGAUGAAACAAAUGACUCCAAAACUUUGUGGCUCAAUGCAACAAUCAUCACUUAUUAUUUCUCAUGGCUUCUGAGGGUCAGGAAUUCAGAUAGAGUACGACAGGGAUGAAUUGUUUCUGCUCCAUAAUGUCUGAAGCCUAAGCUGGGGCUGGAAUCAUCUGGAGGCUUGCUCACUCUAGAGUCUGACAGUUGAUGCUGGCUGUCAGCCAAGGGCCCAGCAGGGGCUUUUGUUGGAGCAUCCAUACAUAGCCUUUCCAUCAGUCCUGGGCUUUCUCACGUGAUGGCUGGCUUCAAGAGAAAUGAUCUCAAGACAACACCAAUGUAAAAGCUGAAUUACCUUUGUUUUUCAUUUUUGAGUGUGUGUGUGUGUGUGUGUGUGUGUGUGUGUGUGUAUGUUUGUAUGUGUGCAGCUUUUUAAGGUGUAAUUCACAUACUAUACAGUUCACUCAUUGCAAGUGUAUUGAAUAUUUUUUCAAAAUCUGUACAAUUGGCAUUUAUAUAAAUGGCUACAUAGUUAAAUACAUACUAAUGCUAGGGUUAUUGAUAAAGUGAAGACAAUUAGGUAUCCUUGAAGCAUUCCAUAAAUCAUCUCAACAUCUUGGACUAUGCUUGCCUUAUUUAAAAAAUGGGGUCCUUGAUUGGAGAAAAAGCAUGAUGAGUGCCUGGGCAUUAUACAUACAUGCUCUGUAUCUUUAUCAGGAACUUUCUGUACACAUGUGACUAUCCCAAGAGUCAUCACACAAGAUAACUGAUAAAUGUGACUUCUGUUGGGGUAGAGCAAAGAGUUCCAGGUGUAGAUACUACUGCCUGGCUGUCCUGUAUUUGUUCCUCCAUUGCAAACAAAUCUCUGAUUUUGUCCAGGUAUAUGAUGAGAUGUGAGCAGAGAAGGUGGAAUUCCACUCAUGCCCCCUAGCUUUAGGUAAUAAACAGUGAAGGGAAGCCCACACUCUUCUUUUAUGCCUUGGGAGAUGUAGUGUGACGGCAAGACACUUGGAGGUGUGACAGCCAUUUUGUGACCGUGAGGGGAGAGCCAAUGAAGUAGCAGAGAAGACAGUUCAAAGCCCUGACAGUUUUGAGCAGCUAUAGUAAUGAACUGUGAAACUUCUACUUCAAAGAGUCUUGAUUAGUGAGCUACUAAAAUGUCUAUAAUGUUCAAACCACUUUAAUUCACAUAUUUUGUUACUUGAAGCAGAACUUCUCCUAAGUGACAAACUCCUGUGAAAAAUACAAGUCAUAUUCAUCCCUAUUGGGAACAGAACAAAAGUAUAUGACUACUUGCUCUCAUUAACAGCACUGCUAUAAACUGUGAGUUAAGAUUAUUACAGUUUAUAAUUUUUCUUUUGGGAAGUCAAUGUCAGUGAUGGUGUUUGUAUUUUCUAGGCACCUGAGGCCAUAGUGACUGUGUGUUCAAGAAAUAUUUAAGAUUAAAGCAAAAAAUAGUUUACCCAAGGUUUGAACUUUAUGCUUAAAGACAUUAUAGGAGAUAAGGAGAAAGCUCUAAAGAUAUGAGAAAAUGAUUUAGAAAAUAAAAAAGUUGGGAAUUGGAAACUAUAAAAUAUCUUUAUGGAAAGGGCAUAGACUACUAGGCUAGGGAUCAUUUUGUACUACCAAAUUGUGUGCAGGACUCCCACUGGAGUCAAUCAGAGUCAUAUGCAAAAAUCAAUGUCAGGAUCUUUCCUUGAAACCAUAAACUGAAAGCUGAAAAAUCGGAACUAUUUCUUGAUAGAUGUCUGGGAGAGCGCCAAAUGUCAGGGAGGCCAGGUGUUUGAUGGAAAUGAAUGUGCUUGAUACUCUAAUAUUGCUGGAUAAAUUAGCAAGAAAGAGAAUUCCAUCACUGUCUUUCCCAAAACUUGAUUUUUUUAAAGCCCUCAGAACUUCUUCAAUUAUUUUUUCCAGAUGGUUGAGAAUUUUAAUGAAUAAUAUUCACUCUUUAAAGAAACGAUAUGAAUAGACUUUUUCUUUCCAAUAAUCUUAGGAAAAAAAUCCUUUACGUUUAGACCUGUACUUAAUCUGUGGGUCAGAGGUUAACUUCUGUGCACUCUUGUUUCUGGAGUAGAAGGUAUUAGUUUAACAUGCAAUGCACCAACCACUCUAUUAUGAGUCUCCUAAACUGUUAGAAAGAGGGUGAGGAAGGGAGGGUGCAGCAUUUGGGAACGUCAAGUCUCUGAAAACCAACUUUUUGAAUAAUUUGUCAUGGAGGUUCAAGAGAAUAAUUAAAAAUCAUCUUCUAAUGAUUAAAAAUCAUCCAUAUAUGGUUAUGUAAUUUAAACAGAAGGUGUGAUUUAUUAAAAUAUAUAAUGCUUUAAUUGAGUAGGAAUUUGAUGAGCUAGUACAUAGAAUUUUGCUUAAUAUCAGUAUUGAUUAUAAUUUUUUCUUAUCAGUUUUAAUAACAAAAGGAAUUUUUAAAAAAUAUUGAUUCUGAAAAUUUUCUCAGGCUUUCCCAGGCCAGUUCUGUAAUUUAUAAGUUCAUCAUUCAUGGGGAUAAGUGCUUAUUUAUCCCCUAUUGCUGUCUCCUUCUUGUGAAACCCAGUUCAUCAUUUUUAUUAGAAUGUUAUCAUUCUAUAGUAUUUAUUAAGUUGGUAACAGAGAUUUAUACUGUGCAUCACUUUAGGACCUGCUAUAUGAGAUCUAAGGCAAUUUUGAUAAAGAAGUAAUAGUAUUGAUAUAUUGAUUGAAUGAUCUAAUUUUUUUGUUUAUUUGAGAAUCUUGUUUAUUUGAGUUUCUUGAUGGAUAAGACCAAAGGUGUAGGAAGUCUAGUGUUAGUAGACAGAGUCCUCAAGAAAUUUGCAAUGUGCAGGAAAUGUGAUUUUCAUUAUAUUGUGUGGAAUUUAGGCUUUACAGAUCAUGUAUUCAGCUCUUUCUUACAUUCAAAGGACUGGAGGAGCACCUAAGAGGUCCCUUGACUUUUCAAGGACCAUACAGUGGGUCAGUGGAAUAGGAAGGGAGGCCAUAUCUUCUGACCCCUGUCCAAAGGUCUUUAGGCUAUGUCAUAAUGUCAAUCUCAAAUUUUCUAAUAAUCUACUGGAGUCUAUCAUUUUACAGUUCUCUAAACCCUUGUUUUUCAAUGAUGUUUGCAGAGUUACAAGUUCAAUUAAGUUAAAGUGUCAGUACACAAAAAUUGCAUUUAUUAUUUUUGUCUUAUAGCAAUCUUUAAAAUUUCAAGUUUACUUCUGGCUCCAGUGUUUUGGGAUUUAAUAAACUAUUGCACAAUCUACUUCUAUUCUUCAUAACGUACCUUCUCUGGGUUGCAAUGGACUCAUCAUAAAGUAAGGAUGUUGCUAUAAUUGAUCUCGGAAGUCCAGCUCUACAAUUCUAUUAAUCUAUAUACAAUUUCCACUUACUCUUUGGAUGAAGUCUUCCUGGUAUUAGUAUUUUAUUGUGUUUCUUUCAUUGGGCAAUGAAGAUUUUCUUUGAGUACGUAAAAUAAUCUUAGGCAUGAAUGGUUAGAAACAUUUUUUUUUUUUUUGGCAAAGUAGCCUCUUUCUUCUUGGAUUAAAUUGGGUUUAAGGCUGACUCUGAAAGUAAAACCACUGUUGGCCUUUAAAUGCCCUGGAGUCUGGAUUAGAAGGAAAGUCCCUGGUGGGUAAGGAAGGCACUUGAGAUGAGCACUGGGUAUUAUAGGUAAGUGAUGAAUCACUAAAUUCUACUCUUGAAGCCAAUAUUACACUGUAUGUUAACUAACUAGAAAAAAGAAGUAAAGUCCCUGGCUAGCUCCUAUCUUCUGUAUUCAUUAACUCAAGUCUCUUUUCUGAUCUCUCAGUCCUUAAAUUCUCAAGUGCCAGAAAUGCAGAAUCAUUACUCAUUCUUUUUUCUCUUGCCACCUGCAACUGCCCACACUUACUGAACAGACACUCUGGGUAAGCUAUGGCCUCAUUCUCUACUAUUCCUAGGGCCUUCAAGCCCUCUAUUACCCGAAACUCCUGGGCAUGUCAGGGGGUGGUCUGGUUACUAACUCCUUGAAGAUUUCUGAUUGUAGUGAUGGGUCUGGGAGAACACUGAGGGGGUAUAAACCCAUAUAAUGUCAAUACCAGGGUGUGAGGUGGGAGUCAGUGGUGCUGGAACUCCAGGUCCUGGUUUUUCUGAUGUGUCAGUGCAGUGUCAGUGUGAAAUUAUACUGAUGAUGAUGGGGAGGAACUAACUAGUAAGUGCCAUGGGGGAAAACUGGAAAUCUGUGCUCAUAAUAGAUCCAACAUAAGGAGGGAAAAUUCAAAAUUUAGUUUGGUUAUGAAAAAAAAAAGUUAUAGUACUCUGGUGACUUGAUCUUAACUUAGGUUUACUUUUUGAGCAACAACAAAACAACAGCUAUAUAUACAGCUAAAUACAUCACAUGGGUCUUAUUGCUUCACUGUUCAAUUUUAUUCAUGUACUUUCGGUGUUCAUAUAAUCUAGUCCUGUGCUCAUGCAAUGGGAUUAUUGUUUUAGAUCUUACAGGAAAAUUAGAUUGCAUCCUGACCAAGGUAAUUUUGAGCUUAAAGGAUUUGUGUGAAUGCUAAUGAAUGCCCACUCAAGAACUCUCAGGUACAUACAGGCAGAUCUUGAGAAGCAUUUUGAUACAGCGAGCUUUUUAUCACACAUCAGUUCUUUGAACAAAUUUUUUAAAGCAGCAUCUCUUGUUUGUUUCUACAUGUUCAUUGGAAAAAUAAUGGAAAUAGAGACGAACAAUAUGUGAAAUGAUUAUUUACCCACAUACCCCACAGAUAAAUGAACACCAGUAACACUUUGGCAUAAACUUUUAUAAUUCUUUUGUACACACACACACACACACACACACACACACAUUUUUUGUUUUGGACACCAAAUUGCUCCCAAUCUAUUUCUUUUGUUUCUACUUUAAAAUAUUAACUUUUCUGGGUUUCACUAGAUUUAUCAAAAAAUGUGGUAUUGCUGUAAUUGAUCUCUGAGGUCUAGUCCCACCAAUUCUAUGGACUUUUAAAAUUUUCACAUAUUCAUUGGGUAAAAUCACUUGCGCACCAAUAUGAAAAUUCUUUUAAAUUUCAUACCUAGCAAUGUUUUGUGAACAUUUCAAUGUCAUUGAAUAUUAUUUAAUAAUAUAAUUUUAAUGACUUUAUAUUAUUCUAUUAUGAUUAUAGUGUAGUGUUAUUACCAACCUUUUGUUAAACAUUAAGGAUUUUUUUCUAAUUUUCUAGUUAUAUUUUAUGCUCAAUUAUCAUCCUUAUAAAUAAACUCUUAUACUUGUGUCAGAUGAUUUGUGUAUAAUAAAUUCCUAAAUGUGUAAUUUGUAGAAAUCAAGAUUCCCAAAGUUUAAGUGUUUUACAAAUGUGGUGAAAAUUACCUCCAGAAAUGAUGUGCCAGUUUAUAUACUCCCAAAUUUUAGUUCAGCAUAUUAUUAUUCAAAACUAUUAAUUGAUGAAGUUUAAUAUGAUGACAAAUUGUUUUAUGUUCGUUCCUUUGCCAAAUUUUUAAUAUAUUUAUUAAUCACUUGUAUUCCUUUGCACAUUAAAAAAAUUUUUUUAUUACAUUUCUUUCUUUUUGAGAGGCAGAGCAUGAGUGGGGGAGGGGUA